RNAcentral lists this ribosomal RNA (254 nucleotides) under uncultured bacterium. Its description in RNAcentral is "partial 16S ribosomal RNA". It matches the Rfam family "Bacterial small subunit ribosomal RNA", at positions 524 to 776 of the family's 1533-position model. The record is from RNAcentral.
UACAGAGGUCUCAAGCGUUGUUCGGAUUCAUUGGGCGUAAAGAGCUCGUAGGCGGCUCAGUAAGUCGGGUGUGAAACCUCCAGGCUCAACCUGGAGACGCCACUCGAUACUGCUGUGGCUUGAGUCCGGUAGGGGAGCACGGAAUUCCUGGUGUAGCGGUGAAAUGCGCAGAUAUCAGGAGGAACACCAGUGGCGAAGGCGGUGCUCUGGGCCGGAACUGACGCUGAGGAGCGAAAGCGUGGGGAGCAAACAGG